UGGCUCGGUUUCCUGGAAGGUGGACUCAGUCUGCUCCACCUCCCCUCAGACGAGCCUAGAGCAAAGAGGCUAGGUCUCCUUCCCUAUGGGAAAGGCGGUUAAGAAAGGAGCCUCACUGGGGCAGUCCUUGCCUUACAUUU
Molecule: non-coding RNA, 140 nt
Organism: Erinaceus europaeus (western European hedgehog)
Lineage: Eukaryota; Metazoa; Chordata; Mammalia; Eulipotyphla; Erinaceidae
Product: small Cajal body-specific RNA 21
Exons: 1
Source: RefSeq, a predicted model, not a curated record